Molecule: long non-coding RNA, 2459 nt
Organism: Gasterosteus aculeatus aculeatus (three-spined stickleback)
Lineage: Eukaryota; Metazoa; Chordata; Actinopteri; Perciformes; Gasterosteidae
Source: Ensembl
AACGGAUCUAAAAACAUCGCAGGCUCUAAUAGAUGUAUGUUUCUGUGGUUUGGUUGUGUGAUUCACCGGAAAUGCUAUCUGUGGUAUUCUGAGAAGCAGUUCGGCAAAAUGAUACGUGAGUACAUCAAAGUUCACUUAGACAAGCAUCUUCUUUGGAGUCGGUCUUAUAGGAUUGUUCUUCAUCAUGGCUGGACGCCUGCUGUUUGUCACCCUCAUGUAUUCCUGUGCCAAUACUAAAACACAAGCUCGUCCUCAACUCAUAAUGAAUUCAGCGGUGAUCUCAGAGACGGAAACAGUCACAUUGGACUGUCGAGCUCCAUCAUAUCCUACUGUCCACCAGUGUUAUUUCACCAUUAUCGGAGCAAAACAUGCCAAAGGCUUCACUUGUGUGCAGACACUGACAGGAACUGAACUGUUGAGGAUGUCAGACCAGAGAGCACCUGCUGAGGUUAAAGUGGAUUGUUAUUACACUGUAAUGGUUGGAGACGUGAAUCAUCCAUCUGCACACAGUGUCACAUCAUCCAUCACAAUCCAAAAUGUUGUCAAGUCGAGCACGACGCAGACUAAGACGGCAUCUGCUGUGACCACAGCAGGUCUUUGUGCUUCCAGGCCUGUAACUACUGUAAAGCAAACAUCAGCAGGUCUCAGUGCUUCCAGGCCUGUAACUCGUAUAAAGCAAACACCAGCAGAUCAAACCUUUGGACCAAGAAACUCUGGUAGUUUUAGUUCUCCUCCCCUCACAACAGACAAACCAACAUCAGAUGUUGUCGAGUCGAGCACGACGCAGACUAAGCCGGCAUCUACUGUGACCACAGCAGGUCUCAGUGCUUCCACGCCUGUAACUCGUAUAAAGCAAACAUCAGCAGAUCAAACCUUUGGACCAAGAAACUCUGGUAGUUUUAGUUCUCCUCCCCUCACAACAGACAAACCAACAUCAGGUGACACAAAGACUCACAUUUCUUUAUUUUUUUUUACAUUUCAAUAUUUGGUGACACAAAUACAUUUCUAUAUUGUUUUUUCCAAAUAUUUAUUUAAUAUUCUUACCACUGAACUCUUUUUUAGAACCAGGAGUUGAAAUUAAAGUGGGCUGUGAUCAUGUGUUUCUGCUUGGUUUGAGUAGUACGUAAUGCUCUGAAAUUAGACAGUAAAGACCUGUUUCUGAUUAUAUAUCAGAAUUUCAUGAUGAAGCUUGCGUGCAACGUUAACAGUUAAAUUGUCAGUUGAGAAGCAACACUUUGCCUCUCCUUUUUUAGAUUGUGUUCUCUUUUUGUAGGCAUUCAGUAUUUUCACACUCCUUCUUGCUUCUGUGUUUGUUGUGAAACUGAAACUGAGAUGAUUGUGGCUUCCGAAACAGAAAUGCAGAGAUGGAUGUUCAUGGUGAUUGCGAUUUGUUUGGGAGGUUUUUUCUCUAUUUCCUUACUGGGACUGGGCCUUCUGUGUAGAAAAAGAACAUUGGGUAAGAACUUGACUUAUGUGUCAGAAAUCAUUGAGUUAUUCUUUGCUCCCUGCUGCUUGAUGAACUGACAAAGAAUUUGAGCAGAGGGUCAAAAGAGGCACUAAAGACCCUUUUGAACACAACUUGCACAUAACUCUGUUUAGAGAACAGCAUCGUUUACCACAUUUGCAUUAAUGUCAUUGGAUGUUAGUAGUUCCUCACCUGUAAGUAUUCCAGAGAGAGCUGGACUUCCAAGCAAACUGCCUUAUGUAACAAUAUGCUUUUCUCUCUGUUGUGUUUUUCAGAAAGAUGUUCUUAUAAGAGGUCACAAGCUGAUGUCACUGGUUCUGUGAAACUGGAGGAGCAAACAUUUACAAAUGAGAAUCCCAUAUACCAUCUCUACUCCACUAUCCCCGACGAGCCGCCUGCAUCAGCCCAGGAGGAAGCGAUGUACAGCUACCUGCAGCCACAGUUGAAGCACUAGCCUUUUAUACUGUAGAGAAACUGUUUGAGCGGAAAGUCUUCUUUAAUCCAUUUAUUUUACAUUUUUUAAACAUAAUAUUCUUUGCAAAAAUGCAAUGCCAAUUGUAACUAAUGAACAACAGGUCUCAGCUGGGUGGCACACUUGAUAUUUUGUUUUACAGGGAGAAAAGAUUAUUGAAUUUUUAUAUUGAAUUACAGAGAAUGGACGUUUACUUUUUGCAAUUGUUGAAUAUGUGCAAAGGUUUCAUUUUGUGAAGUUGGAGGCUGUUGAUUAGCACUACAUUGUAGACAGCUUCUUCUUUCUCUUUAAAGAUUCAAGUCAAAGAUGGGUCAGGAUUUUCUUCUGCAUGCUGUCAUAAAACAGCAUAAGCUUGCUUCUUUAGGACCUGUAACACGAUGCCUGCUCAAUAGAAUUAAACAAUUAAAAAAAUAAGAUAACCAGAGCUGCCAACUUUUCAAAAAACCUUGGAGUGAGAUUUUGUCGGGGGUGACCAAAAUUUUGCCGCGCACGCAGCCACACACGUUGGUGGCUCAAAUAUCA